Molecule: ribosomal RNA, 438 nt
Filed under: uncultured bacterium
Lineage: Bacteria
Description: partial 16S ribosomal RNA
Rfam family: Bacterial small subunit ribosomal RNA
Source: RNAcentral
CUACGGGGCGCUGCAGUGGGGAAUAUUGCACAAUGGGGGAAACCCUGAUGCAGCGAUGCCGCGUGAACGAAGAAGGCUUUCGAGUCGUAAAGUUCUGUUCUUAGGGAAGAAAAUGACGGUACCUAAGGAGAAAGCACCGGCUAAAUACGUGCCAGCAGCCGCGGUAAUACGUAUGGUGCAAGCGUUGUCCGGAAUUACUGGGCGUAAAGAGUUCGUAGGCGGUCAAAUAAGUCAGAAGUGAAAGGCUACGGCUCAACCGUAGUAAGCUUUUGAAACUGUUUGACUUGAGUACUGGAGAGGAAAGUGGAAUUCCUAGUGUAGCGGUGAAAUGCGUAGAUAUUAGGAGGAACACCAGUGGCGAAGGCGGCUUUCUGGACAGUAACUGACGCUGAGGAACGAAAGCGUGGGGAGCAAACAGGAUUAGAUACCCCAGUAGUC